GCGCUGCUCGCGCGCCUCUUCCGCGCAGGCAGGGCUGAGCGCGCGAGGGUCGGCCCCAGGGUCCUCCCGGCGCGCGGCGGAGGGAACGCGGCAGCGCUGGUGCCCCGGCAACUGCGCGUGAUGGCGUGUGCGCGGCGAGAAUGCCUUUUUUGGGACGAGGGGCCGUGGUGCCAAUGAGGCCCCCGCAGGAGCGCAGUCCGCGACCCGAAACGCUCGCGAACCGAAGAAGGAGAGCCUUUUCGACACAGUCGGUGCGCACACGUGUCACGGUGACAGGUACAUCUCGUGGGUUCAUAACUGCCUUAUUGCGGAAACCAGCAGGAGAUGGACCAGGUUGUUCGCUGUUCCUGGCUCCAUGAGCUUGUGCUCUUCUGAGCCAGAGAAGAGUACAGCAUGGUGGUCAUCCUUGGGGCAUGGAAGAUCCCAGGAACAGUCUACAAGGGGCUGUUGUGGACCUAGGGCUUGGAACCUGCUGAACCAUACACCCCUGCCCCUGAGCCCUGAAGGCCCAUCUAGGAGGAAGAGGGAGGAUGGGGAGAUGAGAUGCUCCCUUUUCUUUUUUUUUAGCUGCUGUGGGGACUGUCUUAGCUACAAUGGAAUUUUUUUCUUAGGCUUUUUUUUUUUCCUCCUUUACUGAGCUACUAUGGGCACUGUUUUCAGUCCUUUGGGUUUGAGUUACCAAAGGCCCUGGUGAAAAUUGCAAUUAUGUUGCUGGGAAAGGACACCACAUAGACUGACUAACUCCUGUUCACUUAGCUUAGUAUGAGUCCCUGCCUUUUAAGAUCAACACAGGACCUUCUGAUGUAUUAUUUCAUUUUAAUGUCUCUGAGUGAUAAGCACAAGGGAGUUUAUUAUUCCUGCUUUGCUGAUGGGGAAAACCUAGGCCUGGACAAGUAAAGUGACACAGCUAGUCAGUGACACUGGAAUUUGCUCUUGGAUCUCUCUGACUCCAAGCGCUAACUGCACCCAGAAGGAAUAUAUGAAUACAGUUUGAAGGGUUCUAGGAAGUUCUCUCUCAAAUCUCUUGCUGCCUUAAAUUCUGCCAUUGACACAUCAUUACUUUGAGCUGUUGCUGUCUUAAGGCUUCACUGUGAUUUUUGUACGCUCUGAAAGAGGGUUCAAAAAGAAUUGCCCAGUCCAAGUACAAAGUCAGCCAGUUCUCUGUGGCUCUGUGAGUUUCUCUGUGUGGGGUUACAGGGUGGGAGAAGUGAGACAGCCCUUCCAAAUCCUUGCUGCACCGGAGUCCAGACAUUGCUCACCCCGUAGGUUACUCUGACAGCAGCUGUGGAGCAGGGGAAUAACUCCAAUGGCUUUGAGCCGAGAAGGGUUGUCGUGAUGUCCCAGGAAUGAGCCUCAGUUUCCUCAUCUCUAAAAUGGAAGUAAUGAUUUCCCUGCUUGCUCUACAGGGUAGUGAGGCCCAAUGAGAAAUCCCACUGUAAAGUGCUGUACGGCACAAGGUAGGAAUAUUGUCUGGUCAGACACCCAUUUGAGCCCCAGGCAGCUAAGUGCCUCCCUUACCUGGUGAGCGAGGCGUUUGUGCAUCAGGAACAGACCUACAAAAUAGGAGCGCCAGGAUGAACCAUCACAUUGUAUUAAUAUUUUCACACCACUUAACUCUCAUUAAAAUGUACUUUGCUGAAUUUAAUAUGUGAUUUCAAAUGACACAACAUAUUAAGUGCUUAAUAUACUAGAAAUUAUGAAACUUACAGUUGAUGCCAUAUGAAAUAAUUAGACUGAAUUAAACUUUAGCAGCCAAGUGAAGGAAAGACUUCAGCUUAUCACAUCUUAAAGUAGCUUAAUCCACCAUUGUAAUCCCCAAAAUAAAUGUCCAGGAAUUAGGAUCUGUAAGUAAAAAUGGAAACUUAAUCUGUACUUACACCCAGCUCUUCUAGGCUUUGGUAAUGUGGAGUGUUGUUGCCUUUGGGAGGUGAGAGGCCCUGGCACCCACCCCCAGAGCAGGCUGCCAGGGUUACGGCUUCAGCAGCCUCUUGCCGGGGGCCUGGCUGGAAGAUGAUUCAUGUGGCUGGAGUAAGGAGUAAGGCCUUCUGCUGAAGCGACAGGUUGGUCUUGGACCCCACUUAGCUUGUUGACAGGUUAAAAAUAAAAACAAACACCCUUUAACAUUUAUUGAGUGCUUCCUUUUUGCCAGCAUUUUACACGUGUUUUCUCAUGGAAUCCUCACAAUACACCCAUGUGAUAAGCCACCAUUUUCAGAUGAGGAAACUGAGGCUCAGAAAGAGUAAGUGAAUCAUAUAAGGCUUUACAGUCAGAAUCCGCAGUGUUUGCUCCUACAUCCCACACAGCCUCCUCCUUGUUGUGUGGGUGUGGGCGGGUGUGGGCGUGUACACCACUCCCAUUUUAAUAAUGGUUCCAUGACGAAACACUUUAACCUGCUAUCUGACAGUGACCCAUAUGUUUAUCACAUUCCAAUCAUGGACAAUAGGGAUCAAGACUUGAGAGCCUCACUUUGAACAGGAUGCAGGCUGGCUGACUCGCACAGGAAGUUCUCUGUGAAUACUAGCUGCUAAUUCCAUUCAAAAAGAAUGAAUUCAUUAUAUCCAGAGUAUCCUGAUAUUUACCUACAUGUAGCUGUCAUAAGACAACUUCUUAGAGAGUAAGGAAUACUUCCUGUCAUAAGGGGGUAUCUAAUUUUAUAGCUAUUUAAGACACAGUAUCUCAGUUACUCAUAUCAGCAUGAAAAUACUUACCCAAUGUGCUAUUUGAAAAAUAGAAAUUUGAGUUUGGGUAUUUAAAUAUGUUAGAAUUUACUGAUCAGCAAAAAUGAUUUUAAUGGAAACAGGGAGACAACUCCAGCAAACGGAUGUUUAUAAUUAACUGAAAACACGUGUUUUCUGUAAGUAUCAGGAUUAGGUUGUGCCUCGUAUAAUAGAAAACCAAAUAACAGUGGCUUUAAGAUGACAGAAGUUGAUUUCUCUCAUGCAUGAAACAAGUUGUCUUUCAAAGUCUGGUCUGGUGGCUCCACUUUGUCACAGAGCCAGGCAAGAUCUUUUAUCUUUUUAGUCAACAACUCAUGGUCCAAGGUGGCUGCAGGAGCUCCAAGUUCCAGCUGUCAGGAAGGUGGCAGAGGUAAAGGGUGCAUGUUUCUUCCCUGGAGAAAAUCUGUAAAUAGGAAAGAGGAAGAGAAUGGCAAUGAAUGGGCAAAUAGCAGUCAUUGGCAUAUGACCUGCAGGUAGCAGUCAGUAAUUGUUACUUUCAGCCCGUGCUUUUCCUCUCUGCAGAGCAUCAGGAAGGGGAAGGAAGUUAAUAGUCACUAACCACAUACAGGGUUCCAGAGAACACGCUGGACGUUGCACAUGAUCUUCAAUUAUGUGCUGUGGGGGUGACAUAGUAGCAGGUCAGGCAGGAGGAGAUGCUGUGACUUGGGGUGAGACUCUAUCCACGUGGAGGAAGGAAGUUGAAGAGGGAGAGUUGGAAUGUUUGCAUAAGAAGCCCAGGGGCUUCUGGGAAGAGAGAGAUUAAACCUCUAACACUUGUCCUCUGGGAUGAAAGUUGUUUAAAAAAUUUCAGGGUGAAUCAGAUUGUACUGACCAAGGUCAAAUGGCAGGAAAGUUAAUACUAUGCCCUUAAAAUAAAUGAUAAUAAAAUAAAAUUGCCAUGAGUGCAGAAAGUGAAGAGAUUCGAAGAUUAAAAAGAUAAUAGGAAAACUGGCAAAAGACUUGAACAGGCACUUCACAGAAUGGCAGCUACAGGUGGUCAGUGUGAAAAUAUGCUCAACCCCAUCAGUCAUCAAGAAAAUACAAAAUAAACUACCUCACAAUUAACCUUGGCAGGUCUGAUAAUACCAAGUGCUGGUGAGGAGUAGAGCAAUGGAGAUGUGAGACUGUACAUCUUCUUAACUGGGUUAAGAAGAAGUUGGUUAGAAGAUGUAUUGACAUGAAAAGAUAUUCACAGUUUAAAGUGAAAAAAGGUUUUAUCUUAUUUCUGGAAAAUAUAUAUAAAAUAGUGUUUUUUUGAUAAUAGAAAAAUAUCUGAAAUAUAAGUGGCUUUUUAUG
Hippopotamus amphibius kiboko is the source of this 4013-nucleotide long non-coding RNA. RefSeq lists it as uncharacterized. Lineage: Eukaryota; Metazoa; Chordata; Mammalia; Artiodactyla; Hippopotamidae. The transcript is spliced from 3 exons. The record is from RefSeq and is a predicted model, not a curated record.